Long non-coding RNA from Gasterosteus aculeatus aculeatus (three-spined stickleback), 17804 nucleotides. The record is from Ensembl. NCBI's taxonomy places the organism in Eukaryota, Metazoa, Chordata, Actinopteri, Perciformes, Gasterosteidae.
UGCUCUUAUUGCAUUGAAAGAAGAAGCUGCUGCAGUAGAACUAUAUAUUGUUCAUACUGGUUUUUGUUCCUCGUGUUGUAACACAUUUUGUCAAACAAUUCACUCAAACUCCAACCUCGAUCCCAAAAAGCGCGCUCAGAUCACUGUUAUGCUGAUUUAUUUAAAUUACAAUUUGACGCAGGGUAAUCACAUUGCAAUUUUAUGCCUGGCAUAUUUGAAGAUAAUGACAUUGUUACCAAUAAUAUAACUACAUCUCAUUUAAAUGAUAAUUUUGUGUCAUUGUGUAGUUUUUUCUCAGCAUGCAGGGAGCCGGGACAAGCAAACGUGGGUCAUUUGAAUUUAGGCAUUUAAAUGACAAAGAAUGCUCACCCUGGGACGACGCAAACGUCUUUAUUCAGUUUUGCCUGAUUUAAGCCUAAAGUCUUUCAUCAGCUCUCGUCUUGAUGAACGACGGAGCAGCUCGGGCGGACUCUGCUGUAUGCCGUCACACAAAGUGACAAAUGGCUUGAUGAAACUGUGGAGAACACACACAAUAAGGAUGGCGUGUUAGUUCAUACUGUAUGCUGGAGGAGACAGUUUUCUUUUUUGUCAUAUUUGAAAUAUGGGUGUCCUGCACAGCAGUUUUCCUCAUCGAUCAAUAUGGAAGCUUUCCUGUAAUAUAAUGUUGCAGGUUUUAAUCAAAUAAACUGUUAUGAGCCCAACAUUGGACACGUUUUAGCCGUUUCUGGCAUUUGAUUGUUUUUCAUGUCAGUCCUGCCUUUAAUGGAAUUUAUACCUGAGAUAUAUUUCAUUUCGUCCUCAUUAAACAUCAAGAUAAAAGCUUUUCAACUAAAGACACAAAGGAAAAAGGAUAGGAUGCACACAUAACCAAUCGAUUCAACUUGAUGGUCAGCACAUUGCAUUUAACAAUGAGCCAUCACAGAUGAUUGGAGAGAAGAUUCUCAGAGUAGACAUUCUUCAGGGCUGAGUCUUGUGUCGAUCAUCAUUUUUAGGGAAUACAAAAGUGACUGGUGGAACGGUUUAAAGGAGGGCUUUCUUUACACUAAAUGUCAAAUGAAACGAGAACUUUGACCCGUCUCCUCCACUGUAAACACAUGCACAUUACAUAUUGUAAUUACUUGGGGUUGUUGGUGUGUGUACGACACAAGGUUAAGACCAACUCCUUCCCAUUUCACACUUACGUACUGACCCUUACAGUAAAGCAACUGAGCGGCCUUACGUGUCGGAUUGGUUGCAAAAAGAUGGCGGCGGUACGACGGGAUGGCAGCGGUCAAGGUAACAGACCUAAUGGCAUUGCACAAAGCAAUCCGGAACGUCAUGGUGACCGUGUCUACUUCCUGUAAGCGCUGUUUUAUUGCUGUAUGUAUCUGUUGGCAAAUGGACAAAAACACCCUGCUGCAUAUUUUAUCAAUGAGUCAUUUUAAAGGCGUAUGUUAAAAAAAGUCACCGUAUAGUACAUUUGUUUUUUUGGUCAGAUUAAGAAAUAAAGGGAUUUUUUAAAUAUCUUAUUACUUGCAGACAAUAUGGUUGUCAUCAGCGUUACAGCAUUUAUGCAUCUGUCCUCCAAUAUCAUACCCCUUUGUAAUGUUUUUGCUCCUGAGAGACAAACUUUGAUGCUUUUUAAUGCUUUCAAAAAUCUAAAUUUUCUACGGCAGCCAUUCUUGUUUUCUCCAAAACCUUUUGACCACCGCAUUUCCAAAACACACAAACAGACCGACAACAUUUUGAAACAAGACAUUUAAUAAUAAUAAAAACAAACACGCAGAUGUUGUGGAUGUGUUUGUGUUCUCUCUCUGCCACAGCCGCUCUCCAAAUGAAAUGCUCGCCAGGAGGCUUAAGUCAACUCAGCUGGAGGCACAGAUGCUUUCCGUUCCCUUCGACGCAGUCACCAAUGCAGGGAGCAGCAAACCCUCCGUGAAGUCCAAUUUCAAAAUGAAGAGCUGUGAUUCCAGCUCAGGCUCUGGCUCGCUGGGAGAGAAACUCUUUGGUUGUUACGCUACACAAAAACCUGAGCAGAACCCAUGUGGUAGAAACUUUCCCCUCAGUCAUUCUGUCCCUUGUGUUUAGUGUACAAUACAAAUCAAAUCUGAUGACAGGUACAAUGUCUGCUAGAGUGACACAUAAUCAGAAGCAUAAUUGCAUUACUGCCCCAAGAUGAGGCAUGAAUCAAAACAAUAUUUUUCUAAAAAGGCUAGAAGACGGGUGCAUUUACUAGAUAAUCACUGCCUGCAGGUUGAAUGAAAUUGGGUUAAUUAGAAGGGCACCGGAGAACGGGAAUAACACUGAACUUCCGAAUACAUGACGUGUUGUUCAAGUUGAGCAAAAUGGAAUUCUCUUUGGAUUCUGAAAUGUGGGUUCGGGAGGUUAUUUCUUCUUUUGGGAUUUGUUUGAUUCAGAGCUUCAAAAGAAAAGACACAAAAUAUUAGACAGCUAAUUUUCUGCAUGGACAUGAGUAAGUAACAGUUAUUUCCUUUGACAAAUCUUUUGUUGUAAGUAAGUAAACAGGUCUGACCUGGGAGGUUUUGCGGAUGUGGUUCUGCACCAGUUGUACAAAGAAAACCAUAAUAUAAUUACCAAGGUUUAGCUUAACCAUGUUUUGACAGUUACAUUUAUUACACCUGUAUAACAUUGCUUAGCUGCAUAGCUGAAAUGACAGCUGACAGCUACAACGGAGAGAACCGCUGGCUUGUUGCUGACAACAUGUGAUUGGUUUAGAGACACGGUGCCGAAUCUGGUUGGUUGGUUGUUUGAACAAUAUCCGCUGCCAGCGUAAAGCUGGGAUACAAUGAUGCAACUUUACCCAAAAUGAUCUUUGAAAAAGCAAACAUACUGUAAUAUAUGAAUAGGACAUGCAUUUAUUGUGAAUGCAUUAACAAUGGGAGGAUGAAAACGUCCCACUGUCCUGAGGACAAAAAGUAGUAAACAAUGCUUUGGAGAGAUCACGUCUACUUUUACCAGAACCAGAGCGCUCGGCCUCCCCACAGUGUCAUUUUUCAUUUUUCUUAUCUCCUGCACCUUGAAGGCUGCCACAGAGGAGAAGUGUGCAGCGCUGUGCUCCAGGAAGGCUUCAGUGGCCCCCAGAGGAAGAAGUCUUCGUUUAGUAUUGAACAGUCCAGUAACCACGUCUUUGAGCUCUGUCUGAGGCCACUGCCUCCUCUCUCAAACUUCCAAUUGCCAGUUUUGCUGCGGGCGGAGGGGAGCGAUGCCGCGCAUCUUUACAGUAUCUCGGCGGAUAUCAAUGUUUUUUCUCUCGACAGUGUCUCGGCUUUGAAUUGCUUGCUCAAAAAUGUCACAAAAUUGAAAUUCUCGACAAUCUGUUGACAGUCGAUUCGAGGGGAAAUAGCGAAAAAGAAAAUGAACGGUAGUAAGAUUUGUCAGGGCUGUUUAGUGUUUGUGUGCAGCUGACACUGGGGAAAUGGGAAACGCCUUAUUUGCUGCGGGGAGGGAUUUUGCUUUUGCUGACAAUUUUCACAGUUGUGCCCAUCUAAGUAAAGCCUUAAACACUUGAUGAAAGCAGAAAAAAGGCAAUUGCUGUCAUCUGCAAAAUGGGAUUUGUGAUCUAUCGGCAGCGCUUUCUUAUCCACUGUGUCUGACUUAGAGUACACGUCUGGCAACGCAGCGUGUUUUAAUCGCAGCAUGAACUCCACAUAUUUUGAUCCUGUAAGAGCGCUGAUCGUCUUUGACAGUUUUUCCACAGUGGAAGUGUAAUGCAGCCUUUCUACCGCUUUUCUGUGCUGUGAGAAGCCCCGGUGGCUCCCUGCAUUUCAGCGCGUCAGCUCAAGGCCUGUUGGCGCUGGCAGAGGGUAAAGGACAGACGGACAGACAGAGGAUCAAAGACAUUCAGCCUAAAUUCACACCAGUCAAUUUGUGCACUCUGAAAUGUGUACUUAUUUUUCACUUUUCUAGACAUGUUAAGAGUAUGACACAUUGCCAAGUCUUUGCAAUAAGCCAUUUCAUGUCAUGUGUCGUAUGGAAAAUACAUAGAAAGGAUUUACAUUGUCAUUGUAGUUUGAUGACUUGUGUGCAAACAACACACUUAAACUCGACUUCCUGUGCAGCAGUUGUUUCCCCAGGAAAUUAGUAGGAUGUUACAACAAUGAAUGGAAAACCUUUUGUGCUUAAUCCCUGCUGUUAUGUGCCAUCCAGCAGUGAAACAACAACAACAACACAAGCCCUGGCUUGAUGAACAGGGAACUGCUCGGCCUCUGAGCUGAGAGACCUCGUAUUCAGUGUGCACACAACCAGAACGUCAAUGACCUUGACCCCGUUCGGCAAAAUGUUACUCAUCACUCAUAGUGCCAGUGGUGGUGGUCACAGAGCUCUCUGCUUCUGAGUCACUCCGUGAGGAUUGUCACAUAUCCUGUAUUUCUGCAUUAUUGCCGUAGUUUUAGAAGCAAUACAGACGGUAAACGGGAGGAUAUUUUAGAUUUCUCAUCAGAUUUAUUUUUAUGCAUCGCUUUAAAGCAUUUGCAGCAUCAUUUAAUACCUGCACACACAUUUAUGUGGGACGAAAGCGGUCUCAUUUUGUGGUGGUGGGAGAGCCUGGAUUGCAAAUUAAGGGUUUAGUGGAGCACAAAGUUUGCAAAGGCCGGUUUUAUGUAAGGUUUUAUUGAUCGGGUUUUAUUAUGUCUCUCCUGUAUAUGUUGCCUCCUCUGCCCCCACAGUGGAUAUUUUGUACUUUAGUUCACUAAAUGCAUCAGGCUGGAGGUUUGCUUCAUUUAUUGUUGUCUUUUUAAAGCUCAGUUGGGCUUAAUUAUUCCAAAUGUUGGCCCAUAGCCCAGAACCUCUGCCAGGUAAAGAUUAUUUUUGAACACGGACUCUUUCCUGCCUGCAAUUUGAGCAUGAAAAUGUUUACCAGAGAUAGCUUGUGAUCACAGAUAUCCACACAGUGAGCCGGCGUCGGGUAGCAUCGUCUUGUCCAAGCAGCAGAGGCCGGGAGACGCUUGGAGCCCAGAAGAGUCUUGACUCGACAGGAAAGUGCAGCAGACGGGGAUGGAAGCUGUCUGAUCAACAGAUGACAUCAUAAAUAAAGAGGAGCAAACUUUGCAUUUGACAUGAUGCUUCGUUUGGUUUGUGCUAACUGGUGCUGCAGGAAGGUCGACCAACAAAGUGUCACACUAGUUCCCUCAACAAAAAGCCGUAGAGAUAUUUCCAUUGGACUUGUUUUUAUAUUAUUCCAUCAAAUGAAAAUGUGUAUUUGUAUUUUUUUUUUCAUCGAGAUCUGAAGAUAUUUUGAACUUUGAGUACAAAUGCUUGAAGUAAUGAGUUCCCAGAACUUCACGUCACCGCCGGUGAGAUAAAGGGAGCAAGCACAUUCGGUAAGCUACUGCUUUUUUAAUCAUUUUUAAAUACAAGAGUGGGAUCAAGUCACAUUUCCACAAGCAAACACAUUUAAGGUCCCUUCGCUGAUAAGAUUAUCAGUUUGAUUUCUCAAUUUUGAUGCAGAAGCAGUAACAAUAUGUCGUUUUGAAGUAAUCGGAAAAAGUAAAACGAUUUCUCCCUCAAGUCAAAAGCUGAAAACAGCUUAUAUGAUGUCCAAGAAACGGAACACAAACCAGUUUCUUUAGCUUCCAUGACCUAAAGCCCUGAAAUGCACUAAAGAUGGAAUUAUGGGACCAUUGCAGGAGCACAUGAAUGCAGACGCCGACUCUUUGAUAGCGACUGCUGAAGUAAUUUGACAGACAAAAGAAUACAGUAACUUCACAUCUUUAUAUCUUUUAAUUCCUGCAUUUUAUUUCACUUUAUUGUAUGACAUGUUAUGAUGUGAAUCACUUUGACUCUGCCUUGUGUAUGAAAAGCGCUAUACAAAUGAAAUUGCCUUGCCUACAUCCUUGACAUGCAAAGACUCUGCAAACCGCUGACAGGGUGUUCAGUCAUAAGUUACUUCAGACUUUAACAGAUUGUUUUCAACUUGCACCAUUUCACUCCUCUCGAUUUAAAACUACAGAACUAACGGCAAUUGUAUUUGACCAUUAACUUCUCAAAACGCCAUCUGAGUAAAAUAAAAUGCUAUUCUGUAGUAAAGUUAAAAUUCAUUUUUAUAUAGUGUGAAACAAAAACAGUCCGAGCCCACGAGAAAAUUGUGCUUCUUCCCGGUUUAAGAUGAGUAGCAGAGGCCCCCCCAUCCUGAGCCACAGCAAACAUCUGGUCUUUUCCAUUUUUCUGCAAUUGGAUCCUUUUUAAUUGGAAUUUUAAAUAAUUUAAUAUAAAGAACUCAUCAAACAGAGAAAAACGUGUGAUUGUGAAGUCAUAAUGAACACAUUGAAUUACUAUAUUGUUAAACUUGGAAUGAUGGAAUUAAGUACCCGUGAGAUUUGACAAAGAAGUUCCCCUCUGGGGCUUGUGGUAAAAAUAUAUACAUGUGGUCACGGAUGCAUGAAACUGGUGCUGGAAGUAGAAUUUGUUUUUAACAACCUCCUAUGGGAUUUGUCUUAUUAACACAAAAAGGCAAGAAGUGAAGUGAAAUAGAAUGAGGAGGGUUAAACCAGGAUGAAAGACACAAAAGUUGACCUUUUAAGAGCAGAAAACACUGACCUCUAUUUGUAUUACUAUGAUAGCAAUGUGUUGGAAUUGAUGGGGGUUAGUCUCAUUAAUGUUGCAUUGGCACAUUCAUAAUUAACAAGGCCAAAGAAAAGACUGACAUCGUGCUAACCUAUACAGUGAUUGUAACUCAUUGUAUUUUAAAUCUAUUUUUUAUAGUCACAGAUUUACAUCAGUAGCAGAAUUAACCUUAAAGCUGCUACUUAUAAUUUGAAUUGCAAAGAAUUAUGACGAGACUUUACAACAAUUGGUUAUGAUGUAAUUCAAUCGCUGAUAUUUUUGUUCACACUGGGACCAAAUUGGCAUCAGACUAUCAAGCUGUAACAGAAAUUGAUAGCAUGUAAUUCAGCAGUAUGAAGUAUUGAGGCCCUUAAAAUAUAAAAAGUAUUGUGAAACUACUGUGACUUCACUUGGUUCAACUGCUGGUGUUUAGCAAAAUAAGAGAUGCUGCUUUGACAAAUGUGAAUGAUAAUCUUUUUCGGCAGGAGACAAAUGACUGUGCCUACCAGGCUUUAAUUAGCUUUUUAUUUCAUUAAACUAAAUAGCACCAAUUUCAUUUGAGUAUUUAUUCUGGAUCAAACUAAAACCUUUUGUGCAAAAGGAAAGAUGAUCGAGCCAGAAUCAGAGGAUAACACAACAUCAUCGACGAAGGAAAGGGAGAACUUCUGGAGAAGGUCAAACCGGGGGAAGCGUAGACCCACUGGAGGCCUGAGAGAAGACAGGAUCACUGGGACCUCGCAGGGCCAUUGAAGGCCAAUCGGUCCAGCCGACAAGACCACCGAGGAUUUGACCCCCGGAGACAAUGGACGCACAAGGAGUCCCAGUCCCACAAAAUAACUCCAACCCUGUAGGAGCACCUAAAAGGACGGGUCAAACUGAGAUGGUUCUUUGGUUCUGAUGCCACAGAGAAACAACAGAGCCGGCGUGGAAACCGGAGAGGCGGAGGAACGGAAUGAGGAUGUUGUUGUUUGUUUACAGAGAUUACAUGUUGAAUUUAUAUUUGACUGCUUAAAGUAAAGACUGACACAAUUUGUAAUCUGCAGUCACACAGGAGGCUCCAGUCACUAAGACAAUAAGGCCCGCUGUGGAGGGAGACACAGUGUGGACAGGGCACUGACAGACGCAGGCAACGUUCUUUAUAGCAACUGUCACACCGGUUUCUUCAUCUAUGUCUUCUUCACACAGAUUACAUCUUGAAUUUCGAUUUCUUUGUAUCAAAGAGAUUGAAAGAAUGUACAAAGUGUGAAGCCGCCUGAAGAGCAAGUCGACAAAUGGCACAUUGGGGACAAGGCGCUGACAGAUGCAGGUACCUUAUUUCAGACCAACACAGAAACGCUUUGGACCCUUUUCACAGACUAUAUUCAGAUCUGACAUGGAAUAAAGUACAAAUUGUGAUAGAGCAAAUUAUAUAUACAUUAUAAGAAAGUUACACUUUUCACUCAACUCUUUUACAUAAAAUGAACUUAUUUUCAGAACCAUCAAAUGGUCUAAACUGGAGUGUCUAAAGGCUCUGCAGAGGCUGGUACCGGGGGCAGAGACUCCCACACAGCCGCUCCGUCUUAGACCAAACUGCCUGCUGCUCAAUGUUUGUUUUCAUUUUUUGGGGGGAUUCAUGUUAUUAAAAGUGUCAUCUGUGCUUUCGAUGGUUACACACUUUAACCUCCAGGACGAUGCUUUUUGAAUUGCCUCAAAAAAGGACGGUUUCUACCUUUUUUAAGGAGCACAUGCACAGACUGGCUGUCAAAACACAACACUUACUAGCACAUCAUGUACGCUGGACUUUUGCACAUGGCAUGAAAAGCUCAUUUUCAUGCAGAAAAUCGGUAUGAGAGGUGUGCAUGGAAAUGAUGUGUUUAGGUUUUGAAUAUGUUGUGACUGCAUCAUGAAACCCCCAUCAGAGUGAUGCUGCCACUGCUUUUCUGCUUGAAUGUGUGAAACUGAUGGUGAACAGUUGCUGUUCACUGAGAUAUUAUUGUAAAAAGGUGACAUGUAAUUUACCUGAAUUUACAAAACAGCCCAAAAAACAAAGCUGCUUUACUAAAGACCAAACGAGUUAAGCUCAAUGUUUUAUGUCAUUUAAACUAAACUGUUUGUUUGAAUUGUAAUGAAAAUAAAUUGCAAGAAAAGGACAAACCGUUUCAUUAAAAGCAAAAUUGAUGUAAUUAUCCCUCACUGCACAGGUAAACUGUGUGAUUGAACAACUAAUGCAAUGCACCACUUAAAUGAUCAAAAUAACAGCAUAAUUACAAGCUCCAAAUGGGACCUCUUUCAUUAUCUUAGUUGUAUCUAAAACGGCGGAACAUUCAGCCACUGGCAGUUUAUAUCCAGAUUAAAUCCCCAAAUGAACCUUGAAUCAGGAACAUUUAUUACCAAAAUAUGUCAGACAUACGAGGAAUUUGACUUGGCGGUUGGUGCAUAACAUCAGACAGUGAGACAACAUAGUGCAAGAAGUCAUUUUUAACUUUUUAUUUUUGAUGUAAAAGUACCCCAGCGAGAGUGUGUAAAACGGGGGUCAGUCAGUCAGGGGGGGGCGGGCUCUGUUGAUGAGCCGAUGGGAAGAAGCUGUUUGUGUGGCGGGAGGUCUUAGUCCUGAUGGACCUCACACUCCUGCCAGGUGGAAGGGGCACAAAGCCAUCCGCCGCGGUGAGAGGGGUCGGCUACGACCUUUUUAGCUCUCUUCAGGGUUCUGGAAGCAAACAAGUCCUGGAGAGAUGGCAGGUCUGACAUGUUUCCCCAGCUUCACGUGCUGCUUCCUGUCAGACAGGAAGUCUGUGAUCCACUUGCAGGUGGAGUCGGAACGUGCAGCUGGGAGAGUUUGUCCUGCAGCAGAGACGGGAUGACGGUGUUGAAAGCAGAGCUGAAGUCCACAAACAGGAUCCUGGCGUAGGUUCCUGGGGAGUCCAGAUGCUGGAGGAUGAAGUGGAGGGCCAUGUUGACAGCAUUUUCUACAGACCUGUUGGCUUUAUAGGGGAACUGCAGGGGGUCCAGGAGGGUCUUCAGGUGGGACACGACUAGCCGUUGAUAAGAGGUCAGGGCGACGGCCGUUGUUGGUGUAUUUUUAGUUUGCGUGUAUAGGAUUUCUGCUGUGGUGAUUUAAAUUGCCAAUUUAGCUUCUUUAUCUGCAGGGAGUCUACAGUUAGUGUAACGGCUAACCAUCUCGGAAUAUGCAUCAGGCACAUUUGGCUUACCUGUGGAUGAAAAAUGAAUAAACAGUUAAUAAACCUGUGGCGUGUUAUGUCACAUUUGAGAUCGAGUGACUAAUAAUAAUGGGAGACUCAGAACUAAUUAUGCAACAUAAAGAAGUUAUUUUUCCGAGUAUAUUUACCGUGUAUUGUAGAAGAAAGAAAUCUCAUCUUCGACAGUUUCUGUGUGUUUCCCCGUCGCAGUAGGUUGACUUCUAUUUGUGCAAUCUCGAUGACAAACGUUGUCAUUUGGAGAUUUUGAAGUUGGUCGGGAAGCUGUGUAAUAAAAGUAAGUGCUGUGCGGCGUGCAUUUCAAUAAACACUUUUAAAGCAUUAUUAGCACCCUCAUUACACAGCACAUACACAAGUCGCAGCUCCAUCAAGUUAAACUCGUAUGAUUUGACCUCCUCAUGUCAACAUCAGCCGUGUGCGCUUAAUGCAACAAGUGAUAACCGAAAGAAAUCACUGAAUUUAGGUGAUAUCUGAGCAUGCAGUCCUCACAGACAGACAAUCCCCUUCCAUCUUGUUGCAGUCCAUCCAUCUAGGAGCAAAACAGUCUUCACUUAUAGGGCUGCAAGAAGCCGGGCCCAAGGUGAUUUCUCACAGUUUGAGACACUCUGACCCUCAUCAAUGAUUUGUGGCUGCUACACGGGCCGCCGCUUCCCUUCCUCGCCGCCUCCUCGCCCCCUGCUUGGUUUGGAGGCGGCUGAAGGUUCUUUCCGAGGUGGGGACGGCAGUUUAGAGGCGGGCUGCGCGGCCACGACGGGGAUAAAUGAGACAGGCACAGGUAAUGAGAUCACAAAGCUUGUAUCCGGGAGAAGGAUUACAAAGUGCGGGACACGGCGCAUCUGCACGUACCAGCCCGGCUUACACUCCCAACCGCGGCCGGCUUCGGACGCGCCAGCUGAGCGGCUUCAUUGGCGGCGCCGGGGGCUCCCGCUAUCUUUGUGGCAUCGGGUUCAUGGCGAGAGAAGACAUCUGCCUCCCGAGCCGUCUUCCGUUUUUUCUUCUGCAUGGGGGUUUUACAUGAAACGUGUGUGCGGAGCCAAAAGAAAAAAUAUUUUCCAGUUAACUCAAUUACAGGAGUUAAAGAUGUCAACCUUUGGCAACACGUGUAUCUGAAUGGUUGUUUCGAAAAGAAUUUGCCGAAUCUCUAAAAUUGGACACCAAUAUUGUAUAUCAUGGCGAGGCCAGAUGAUGAAUGAUUAUGUGCAGAGACAGUGGCCAUGACCUUUACAUAUUGCAUCAUCAACACAUUAAUAAUGCAUGGCGUAGCACUUUGCUGUGUGCCAUUACUGUGUUUCAUGUUGUGUGAGUUGAAAAACAACAACAGUUCAUUCCCCUCCUUUUGCUUGCCUGCUUUGUCUGUCAAGCAGACCUAAAGGGCCUGUUUAAAAAUGAAUGAGCAGUGCUUACACUGUAAAUAACUGCUGGUAAUGCACCGUAGGUUAUUUGAAAUGUAAAACCUGCUGUCAGGCUUUGAUUAUCUAUGUAUCUGCCUUGAGCGCGGAAGCAGUGUUCCAUGCAGCGUGGUCGCUGGCUGACUUAUUAAGGCUCGCUGUCAUUUGUGAGAGUAACGUGGUAACUGCAGCAGCUUUUUUGAGGGCAUUUCACGUACAAUGUGAUGUUCUAAUUCCAAAGAGGUUGUCAUUUUUCCCGAGGGUUUACUUGUGCAACACUGCUGACAAUAUGUCGUGGAGGCGGAUUGUUUCUAAGGAACAUCCAUUGCAUAAUUUCGCAGAAGAAGACAUUAAAACAAUUCAUUCAUUUUAAUUGUUAUUAUAGGCAGAUGCGUUUCGCAGUAAAUUAGUAGGUGCGGGGAUGCACAAAUAGCUUCAGGACCAUGUGAUCAAUCAGGUUGGCAUUCUUCGUUAGUUCUGUUCUGGAUUUACCCUUAAACAAGCCCGACCUUGUGUCUUUGUAAUUGUGUCUAGCUACUGAUACCAGCUCCUAUGCCGGAGAAUUGUGUUGCUAUAAUUUGGAUCCCUAGUCUCCGAUUCACCCUUAUUCUAUGUUGAACAGGAGGUCUAUUUUUUGCCCCAUAUAAGUUUUUCAUAUGCAGACAUUCAUGCUCAGGGGACAAAUUCAGCACAGCGCCAUCCCACUGUUACUUUACAGCCGCGGACGACGUGAGGGAAAAGAGUUAAAAAAGAAACUUACUUUAGAAAAAGUGUCCCACUUCACUCCGACAUGUAGUCGUGUUGCACGAUUGGGUUACUUUGGAUUCAUAAAAAUAAAAAAAACAUUGACCAUUGCUGAGCUUUUCAGAGCUCAACCGCACCUCAAUGCCCCCAAUGCCCCCCGUGAAUUUAAUUUCAUCCAGUUUCAACAUUUCACCAGCGGCCACAAUUGACCCAACACAGAACAAAAUGAAUAAGCUCUGGUGGCACCUGAUUAUCAACCUGCUAGAUGAGUCCGGGCUCUGCCUCCCUCCUGUUCCGAACAGAAGAAAAAGCGAGGCGUGCUCCAGGCGGCCGUGCCCUUUGGAAGUCUCUCUCUCUUCACCGUAAUGGAGCGAGUUGGCUCUUACUCCCCAGCCUGAGUCCAGGGAUCAGUCCAGGCGGCUGCUGUUAAUGAGUUCCCUCCUCCGCCAUGCGGAGGUUUCUGGCUCGGCCGAUACCUUGCUUCUGUCUUACCUGCCCGUGCCUUCUGGCAUGGGAAUCUGACGGGGAAUUGGAACACCGGUAUGGUGCCAUGGGACCAGCAGCAUGGAACCAGGAGCAUGGAACCAGGAGCAUGGAACCAGGAGCAUGGAACCAGGAGCAUGAAACCAGGAGCAUGGAACCAGCAGCAUGGAACCAGCAGCAUGGAACCAGGAGCAUGGAACCAGGAGCAUGAAACCAGGAGGCUGAAACCAGCAGCAUGAAACCAGGAGCAUGGAACCAACAGCAUGGAACCAGCAGCAUGGAACCAGCAGCAUGUCUCCGACACGCGCUGUAGCAGUGGCUGACAUGUUAUACCUAGGCCUGAUUCAAAUGUGUUAUAAUUUAGAGCAGCCAAUGUGUAAGUUAUGUUUUGAAUAUAUACAUAAGACAUGUCAUUAAAAUAUCUAGCAUUAGAGCAAAAUUCAAGCAACAACAUCAAAUUGUUGGCUCAAUCCCUCCAAGCUAAAGUGAUUUAUUUUAUAAUAAAUCACGUUCUAUAAGAAAGUCACUUGGAGUGUAGUUCAAAACAUCAGAUUUAAUCCAGACUAAAGUGGUUAGAAUGUGUCUGUGAUUUCUAAAAUGUACAAUCUACCAACUAAUCCCAAACUACUAGUACUGUAGUUUAAUUAAUGUGAUCAUCAUUAAGAAAGUUCUUAGAAGGAACUAUGUGAUGUAAAUCUUGUAAUUCUGUGUCUGCUAAAAGGUGCAAUAAUACUGGUCACAGUUAGGAAUACGUUGGUUAUUUGUUAUACUACAUAGUUUGACGAAUGAGCAAUUUGCCUCCCAGAGUUGAAUUGGCUGGGAUGGUUUUUCAUGUGUAAGGCAACAUCACUCUUGACUUCAACAUGGCUUUGCCAACUUUGUCAGACCAAAAGUAACAGAUACAUCCAUAGAUACAGUACCAGUCGGAAGUGUGCCCAAACUGGUACAGUAUGUACUGAUUGCUGUAGUGGUUAUGUACUAAGACAAUGCAUGGACACACUCUGUGCCCUGUGAGCAGUUAUCUGUUCCCACCUCAGGAUUACUGAUCAUUCUGGGAUACUGGUUUAGGUUCCCCCUUGGCUGGGAUUCACAGCAUACUGGGGACCAAGUCACCUGUUUAACAUCAGCAAUGGCGGCUGUUGUAUAGGGGCUCCUUUAUGGAUUGUGGAAAGGUUUUGACCAACGAUAUUAUCAUGAAACGAGGAAGAAUUUCUGGAGUGUACCUGAAUUACAGAGCGGAUUCAAGUGUUCUUUUUCACUUAUAGUAAACGUCUUUUGAGGAUUUCUGCACUCUCCUCUCAGUACUUAUAGCUAACAUUAUUGUGAUUGUAGUCAGGGAAAUGAAAUUGGCGUAAAAAUGAAUCUAUGAUGGGCUUAAAUGCCCAUUCAACAGUUCUCAGAAGUGAUUGCUGAUGACACCUUUGGAUCCAAAAUAACAGGACAAUUGAUACUGUUGCCAAGGAGCCGUCCACUUAUGCAAAUUUUUUUGUAUGGAUUUUAAAUUUGACUAACUAUUAUGGCACAUUUAGAGGAAAUCACAUGCUGUCAAUUCAAGGUUAUAUACAAUUUCUUUCUCCCACUUGGCUAAUUGUUUCCCUUCAGAGUCUCAUCAGCUUCCGUGUUUAGAUGCAGGAGAGGAGAAGAGUUUGAUGAUCCAUUGCUGCACAGAGGAGCCACGCAGGUACUCUGCAGCUGGAAUUCCAGGCACGACAGCGGAGAAACAAUGUAUAAGGUUGGCUUUUCAUCAAAAAAUGAUGCACUGUCUAUCACCUCAAAAUCUGGAACUGCACAUACUGCACACUCCUACAAAGAUGGGGGGGGGGGCAUAUUGUAUCCCACCGGACACUGCUUCUACACGGCUUGGUUGUCAUGGAACCAGAUGUGAAUAGAAAUGAACGCGUGUGGCGCAAAAUGCAUGCAGCACAGUUGAUUUUCACAAUAAUUAUCAGUGUGUCCGGAUUCUUGCAGAGAGUUGCUCCUCACAAAUACAGUUUUUACUAAAAUGAAGUCUCUUGAGCUCUCUCUAUACAAUAUGGAUGGCAGUAUAAUGAAAACAUAAGCUAGUGCUCCAUCUGGCCAAACUAAAGAUGAAUUAUUUAUAUUAUUCGCGACAUCUUUUAAAGAGAUGCACUGAUCCGACUGCCGAUCCAAAAUCUGUUUUAAUUAAGUUAUUCGCCUCACUGUUAUCAUUCUUAUAUGUGUAAAGAAACAUCUGGCUUUACUUAAAUACUUUCCUAAUACAAUUUAACAAAUAAAUGCAUAGACAAAAAUGAACUGAAUUCAUUUGGUUAAAAACUGCUUUUUGAUGCCAGACCUGACUGAUAGUCAUUAAUACGCAAACCAGCUAUUUGUGUCAGCACCAAACUGAUGACAGUAAAGACACGGCUGCACCGCAGAUUUGUUUCCCAAAUUAUGCUUAGAAAAGAGUUUAAUUCUAGCCUGGCUCGGGCUUUUAGGCUGAUUUAUUAGUCCAGCUGGGGACCUGGUUACGGAUGUUCAUUAACAGACCAACUGUUAUACCUUGGAAAGUUUAUCCCUAUUAAGUCAAGUUUGGUAGUUAGUAGUACGAAUCUGGGGGGAAACGCGAGCGAGAGUAUAAAAGAAAACUGGAAAGGAAAUCCAGUGGAAUGGAUAACAUUGAAGCCUGUAAAGCUAAGCUAAGCUAAGCUAACGUUAGCUAUACUUACUUGUAUGUUAAAACAUUUCCAAAGAAAUUGGAAUCUGUUUUGUUUUCUCUGAGUUGUAGCAGCAUGUAAGUUAUACACGCCUGUAAUGUUUGCUUCCUCAUGGAAAUCAUGUGACGCAGGCUGGUUGCUUCAUCUGCAGUGAGUGAUAUGUAAUUAUUUUCUACUUGUAUAUUUACAGUUUGACAUCGGCAAAGAUUGCGGUUUGAUUUUAAAACAUUUCUACUGUUAGUCACCUGCGUGCUGUUUGUGGCCGGAGAAAAGUGGGCCAGAAGCCCUUGUUCACUCCUUUCCUUCACACAUGAAGAUCCCUCUCCCCAAAGAGACAAUUAGAGGAAGAAACCUGUGUUGCCUUAGCAAGCAAAUAACAUUUCAGAGAUGUAAUAAGACAGAAGUGUGACUUAAGGCAAUAGAGGAAGCCACCACAGACACAUGUGGUUUUCUGAUUAAAGCUGCAACAGCUAUAAUAAUAUGACAAAUGGCGGUGGGAUUUUACACAAUCACAGUCAUUAUGUUCCUUUUUGGUCACGUAACCAUCUUUAACUUUAACAGCUGGGAACAGCUUGAAGUUAAAGUAUAAGAAGGAGCUGUCUCUGUGGGUUUUAUGUCCCAGAAAGAGAAAAGACUCUCCGCUGGUCCCAUGUGAAGCAAUUUGUUGAAGCAUAACAUGAACUACACAGCCGGGCUUGGGUGUCAUCCAUUGCAGACAAGUAAGCUCCCGAUUGAAAGGUCUGCAUAUAAAAAGCAUCGCUGAUUUGUCUAUUUCCUCUGAAAUGUUAUUCACAGCGAGGGGGAGGACACGCGAUGAAUCAUUACUAACAGCCGCAGUGUGCAGCAGACAAAAUGUGCAAUGGUCAGAGAAAGAAACCUCCUGUAUCUGGCACAAGAGAGAUGGCUCCUAUGAGUGAAUGAAAACUGUAUCACAGUGUUGAGCUUCUCUAUUUUUAGUCAUUUAACAUUUUUGUUUUGUUUCAAAUUAAAACAUAAACAUACAACUUAAACCGCAUGUUUAAAAUUCCAACUUUUUGUUGGUUACUGUUUAGUUGUGCAGAAAUGUCUUCACAGGGUUGCACAGUGGCAGCAUAAAAAUGAGAUUAGUGUUGUGAAGCGUUCAGACCAAAUUUCAUGGUUUGAUUAAGGAAGAGAUUCUUGGGGGGGAAAUUACGUUCCCUACGUAUCUUAAGUUAUCUUUAUGAGUUAGUCAGUCAAUGUAGAUUAGUAGAUGGUUGUAUGUUAACUUACUAUCUGUCCUCUAAAGAGACAAACAACCCGUCUAUUAAACCAUCUAUUAAAUGUGUUACAGACAACCCGUAACUAGUUCAUAUAAUAUAAUAUAUUUGUCUUUCCAUUUUAUCAAUUGUCCUCUUUUCAUGCCUUAUGUGAAGCACUUUGAAUGUCUGUACACAGUUAAGGUGAGUAAGUACAAUGAAAUAAAGAACAUGUUCCAUUAUGCGUCUGUGUAAUGGAGUGGUGAGAAAAAUAAAAGAAAGAAAACCACUGUGACCCCAACGGUAAAGUGGAGGAUAGCACAAGUCUUUGCCCUUCCUGUUUUGAAUUUAGCCCCGUUGAAUGAACGUAAUUAUGCAAAUGACAAUGGGAUCAUCAAAAGGCAGCUGUCUCAUUUCCUCCACAAAGUCAAAGUGAUUUGGUUGAUAUUUAGCACGUAGCCGUUCUCUAUGUCGAUGCUAAGCUAGGUCUGUUGUCUGCACACGUACACACACAGUAGCACUUUGUAAAGUGUGUUGGUAGAAAUCCAAAACCAUCCAGUGCAGAGCAGUAGACACACCGGAGCGUUUGAAGUGUUUUCGCUCUCGGCGGCUAGACAAGAGUUUACAGCGGGGAGCCAAAACAAGAAGGAGCAUUUGUUUGAAUUCUUCUUUAUCCUUCUGCUCCAUUUCAAACAAAUGAGGGCAACGAGACAUGAGAAAUGAGAAAAACGAGUCAGUCCAUCACAGGGCAAUUAUGGUGCAGAGCUUAAUUAGUCUAAUAAAGUCGAUUUUGCUGCCAACUGGUUUUGCCUGCUACAUUGUGGAGUAAAGUUCUUUGCAGAUGGUAUUCCACUGCAGCGUGAGUCCACUUACAGAGUGAAGCAUUCGUACAGAACAUGUGUCACCAUUUAGCCGACGAGUAAAAGGAGGAUGGAAGCAAAGGGAAACCGCUAGCUUGACUCUACAAAGAAAUGUGACUCCAGAACUUGAAGCUAUUUAGCUCACACGUCAUGUGUUGUUCAUCAAAAGUGCUAAAACUAACGCGGUGGUGGUAUCAAAGGCGGGACUGUAGUCGAUAUAUUCUGAUAUGUUUCAUCAGCAAUAGUUUUAUAUUUGCAGGAUAUUGGUUGCAUAAAGCCUUUAAUUGCUAGCGGUAUCCAACCUUAAUUCUGUUUUCUAGAUGGCAAGUUAGUGAAGUUCAAGAUCAAUCCGGGUUUCACUUCCAGUCCAAUUAGAUUAGAUUUUUUUGACUGAACGCAAUCUCAGGAUUCAGAACACUGAAAACAUUUCCUCAGCCCGUCCGUAUUUCUAACCAGAAUGAAUGAACCCAUCUCAUAUGCUGUGCAACACUCACCCAGGUGGUUCAAUAUCAGGAAGUUCAGAAUGUAACACUUGGUGUCCCACCGGAUUAGGCAGUAAUUACUUGAAAUGAAUACUUUAAUUAUGGAGCCGCUUCUGAUAACUGCAUAUUUGCCCUUGGUGUAGUUUGUAUUCCUGGAUCCUGAGCACAUUCUCCACAGAUCAUGAAACGGAAAUCUGCCCACGUGGCUUCCUUUCUAUUUC